This 301-nucleotide ribosomal RNA is filed under the name uncultured bacterium. RNAcentral's name for it is "partial 16S ribosomal RNA". It matches the Rfam family "Bacterial small subunit ribosomal RNA", at positions 509 to 807 of the family's 1533-position model. The record is from RNAcentral.
CAGUAGCCGCGGUAAUACGAGGGGGGCAAGCGUUGUUCGGAAUUAUUGGGCGUAAAGGGUGCGUAGGCGGUCUGAUAAGUCUUAUGUGAAAUCUAUGGGCUCAACCCAUAGUCUGCAUAGGAAACUGUCGGGCUCGAGAGUGGGAGAGGUGAGUGGAAUUUCCGGUGUAGCGGUGAAAUGCGUAGAUAUCGGAAGGAACACCUGUGGCGAAAGCGGCUCACUGGACCAUUUCUGACGCUGAUGCACGGAAGCUAGGGGAGCAAACAGGAUUAGAUACCCCCGUAGUCCCUGUCUCUUAUAC